Molecule: ribosomal RNA, 408 nt
Filed under: uncultured soil bacterium
Lineage: Bacteria
Description: bacterial SSU rRNA
Rfam family: Bacterial small subunit ribosomal RNA
Source: RNAcentral
CAGCCGCCGCGGUAAUACGAAGGGGGCUAGCGUUGUUCGGAUUUACUGGGCGUAAAGCGCACGUAGGCGGAUCGUUAAGUCGGGGGUGAAAUCCUGGAGCUCAACUCCAGAACUGCCUUCGAUACUGGCGAUCUUGAGUCCGGAAGAGGUGAGUGGAACUCCUAGUGUAGAGGUGGAAUUCGUAGAUAUUGGGAAGAACACCGAUGGCGAAGGCAGCCAUCUGGACCGACACUGACGCUGAGGCGCGAAAGCGUGGGGAGCAAACAGGAUUAGAUACCCUGGUAGUCCACGCCGUAAACGAUGAGUGCUAGACGUUGGGGCCCUUAGGGCUUCGGUGUCGCAGCUAACGCAUUAAGCACUCCGCCUGGGGAGUACGGCCGCAAGGUUAAAACUCAAAGGAAUUGACGG